This 28-nucleotide non-coding RNA is filed under the name Rattus norvegicus (Norway rat). The record is from RNAcentral. Lineage: Eukaryota; Metazoa; Chordata; Mammalia; Rodentia; Muridae.
UUCAUUAUAGACCUGCAUUAGAGUGAUC